AUGCUUGAUCAUCACUCCACACAGCCCUCAAUGCAGGAAAUAGGCUGGUUUCUGAUGCACCUGGUGUCUGAGAGAAGCUUUGGUUCUUUCACUUUUCAGCUUUGCCCAGGCCCUACUCCUGAGGUCAGGCUUGUCCCAAGAGAGGCCGGGCCAGGGUGGGUGAUUAUCUCAGCGGUUGCUGUGAGCUCCAUCCAGCUCAGGAAGCUUCAUCUUCCAGAUCAUCUGGGCAACAGAGUGACCGGUUGGUGUGACUCAUAAACAACCCCUUCAGUACAGCCUGGUUGAAUAUGGAGUUGAUUCGUCUGGCCAGAAACCUGUACAGCUUGACCAACAGCCUUAGGUAGAUAUCCUGGCUCCUGGGCUCCUUGCACGGAACCUUGUUGGUCCUUGUUGGGGCGGAUGUCAACUCCCGUGAUGGCGCCUCCUGCUCGGCCAGGUCCGGAAAGCCACAUUUCUAAUUUCUAACAAGCCCCGGGUGGUGUUGUUACCAAGGUCAAUCUGCCACAGUUUAUAGAGGGCCGUGGAGGUGGGAGUGGGGUGGGGUAGGCAGAGGAGGGAAACAGGAGGCUGCAGUUGGGACAGCUGUGCUCAUCCUCACUUGUAAUUGACUCCUGUAAAUUGUCAUUAGUAAACCUCAACACCCACCCUCCUUCCCCAUCAAUAUGAUAAAGAACAUCAGAACAUCUGUGUUCUUGGUCUCCCAGGGAAGUCCACCCAGUCAGGACCCCAGGAUGUGGCAGGCAAGUCGCUCCUUCUCCCUUAAGCCUCAGUGACUCCAACUCUUAAGUGCUUAUGUUGGGGUGGGGGCAGGGCAUGAUGAAUCUGCAGCUGCUCCCCGCAUUGUUGGGGGAAGUGCAUGGUAUGUGAGGAGAGGACUUUCCUCUUCCUAGAACUUCUGGUCUGGUCCCCAGGGCACAGGUGUUAAUGAAGAUGGAGGAGUGGCCUCUUCCUAAUGGGCCUUUCAAGGCCUGCCAGAGCCAGCAGGGUGGGCAGGGGACAGGGAGGAACUUGUGCUUCCCGGCAGGGACAGGAACCUGCUGGAUGCACCGAUUUGACCUUGGCUCAUUGUAAACAUGCUCUAAUGUGGGGCGUUGAAGCCAAGAGAUGGGACAAUUAUCAUUGCAAGGGAAGUUAUCUUAAAGUUAAUUUAUAAAUUCCAGUCAAGGUCCUAAAGGAAUUGUUUGGAGGGAGGGUGGUAGUGAACUUGAUAAAUUCAUUUUAAAAUCACUGGUAAAUGGGAGAGAAAAAUCAAGUAAAUAAAGAAAAAAAGAAUGUAGGGGGCUAUAACAGUUAUAAAAGAUACACCAAUGUCAUGUAGUAGAAAGCCCAGAAGUCCCAAGUAUACUUUAAAUAUUUAGAAAAUGACACAUUUGGCAUUUCGAAAUGGAGAGGAAAUAAAUAUGGCUGAAAAAAUUAAGGAUUUGAUCUUUCUUCAAACCACAUGCUAACAUAAAUUCCAAAUGGGAUAGAGUUAAAUGUAAACAAGGAUACCAAACAAAUAAUAGAAUGAAAUAGAGGAAAACAUUUAUGUAAUGUCAAUGUGAGGGAGGCCAUCCUAAGUUUAACAUGGAAAUAGAAACCAUAAAGGAAAGAUUGGAAACGUGACUGCAAAAAGAUUUGUUUAUGAUACAAAAAUAUCAUAAAGUUAAUAAGCAAAUGAUAAAUUGGGAUAAUUAAAUGUAUAUCACACAGGGAGUUAAUAUCGGUACAAAUCAAUAGGAAAAAGACAUUCCCAAUAGGAAUGGGCACAGGGCAUGGAUAUAUAGUUUAAAAAUAAGUAGAUAUGGCUGAGCGCAGUGGUUCAUGCCUGUAAUCCCAGCACUUUGGGAGGCUGAAGUGGGUGGAUCACCUGAGGUCAGGAGUUCAAGGCCAGCCUGGCCAACAUGGUGAAAACCAUCUCUACUAAAAAUACAAAAAUUAGCUAGGCAUGGUGGCAGGCAUCUGUAGUCCCAGCUACUCGGGAGGCUGAGACAGGACAAUCUCUUGAACCUGGGAGGCGGAGGUUGCAGUGAGCUGAGAUCACGCCACUGCACUCCAGCCUGGGUGACAGAGCAAUACUCCAUCUCAAAAAACAAAAAAGUAGAAAUGACCCGUAAAUAUAUGAAACAACUGUAACCAUGAGAAUAAUAAAAGAAAUGUGGCCAAAUGCAGUGACUCACGCCUAUAAUCCCAGCACUUUGGGAGACCGAGGUAUGAGGAUUGCUUGAAGCUAGCAGUCCAACACCAGCUUGGGCGGCAAAGUGAAACCCCAUACCCACAAAAUGAGACAGUUUCACUCUGUCACCCAGGCUGGAGUCCAGUGCUGUGAUCAUGGCUCACUGAAGCCUCUGCCUCCCAGGCUCAAACGAUCCUCCUGCCUCAGCCUCCCAAGUAGCAGGGACUACAGGUGCACACCACCACACAACCAGCUGAUUUUUGUGUUUUGUGUAUUCACUAUGUUGUUCAUGCUGGUCUUAAAGUUCUGGACUUAAGCAGGCUGUCU
RNAcentral lists this long non-coding RNA (2482 nucleotides) under Macaca mulatta (Rhesus monkey). RNAcentral's name for it is "lncRNA (ENSMMUG00000064497.1)". The record is from RNAcentral. Lineage: Eukaryota; Metazoa; Chordata; Mammalia; Primates; Cercopithecidae.